This 1250-nucleotide ribosomal RNA is filed under the name Alternaria alternata. RNAcentral describes it as "partial small subunit ribosomal RNA". It matches the Rfam family "Eukaryotic small subunit ribosomal RNA", at positions 49 to 1295 of the family's 1831-position model. The record is from RNAcentral. Lineage: Eukaryota; Fungi; Ascomycota; Dothideomycetes; Pleosporales; Pleosporaceae.
CUGGUGUGCAUGUCUUCGUAUAAGCAUUAUACCGUGAAACUGCGAAUGGCUCAUUAAAUCAGUUAUCGUUUAUUUGAUAAUACCUUACUACUUGGAUAACCGUGGUAAUUCUAGAGCUAAUACAUGCUGAAAAUCCCGACUUCGGAAGGGAUGUGUUUAUUAGAUAAAAAACCAAUGCCCUUCGGGGCUUUUUGGUGAUUCAUGAUAACUUUACGGAUCGCAUAGCCUUGCGCUGGCGACGGUUCAUUCAAAUUUCUGCCCUAUCAACUUUCGAUGGUAAGGUAUUGGCUUACCAUGGUUUCAACGGGUAACGGGGAAUUAGGGUUCGAUUCCGGAGAGGGAGCCUGAGAAACGGCUACCACAUCCAAGGAAGGCAGCAGGCGCGCAAAUUACCCAAUCCCGACACGGGGAGGUAGUGACAAUAAAUACUGAUACAGGGCUCUUUUGGGUCUUGUAAUUGGAAUGAGUACAAUUUAAACCUCUUAACGAGGAACAAUUGGAGGGCAAGUCUGGUGCCAGCAGCCGCGGUAAUUCCAGCUCCAAUAGCGUAUAUUAAAGUUGUUGCAGUUAAAAAGCUCGUAGUUGAAACUUGGGCCUGGCUGGCGGGUCCGCCUCACCGCGUGCACUCGUCCGGCCGGGCCUUCCUUCUGAAGAACCUCAUGCCCUUCACUGGGCGUGCUGGGGAAUCAGGACUUUUACUUUGAAAAAAUUAGAGUGUUCAAAGCAGGCCUUUGCUCGAAUACGUUAGCAUGGAAUAAUAAAAUAGGGCGUGCGUUUCUAUUUUGUUGGUUUCUAGAGACGCCGCAAUGAUUAACAGGAACAGUCGGGGGCAUCAGUAUUCAGUUGUCAGAGGUGAAAUUCUUGGAUUUACUGAAGACUAACUACUGCGAAAGCAUUUGCCAAGGAUGUUUUCAUUAAUCAGUGAACGAAAGUUAGGGGAUCGAAGACGAUCAGAUACCGUCGUAGUCUUAACCGUAAACUAUGCCGACUAGGGAUCGGGCGAUGUUCUUUUUCUGACUCGCUCGGCACCUUACGAGAAAUCAAAGUUUUUGGGUUUUGGGGGGGGGAAUUAUGGGUCGCAAGGCUGAAACUUAAAGAAAUUGACGGAAGGUCACCACCCGGGCGUGGAACCCGGCGGCUUAAUUUGACUCAACCCCGGGGAAACUCACCAGGUCCCAAUAGAAAUAAAGGAUUGAAGAGAUGGAAACCCUUUUUGGUUUUUUUUGGGGGGGGGGGGGGGGGGGGGUUUU